This 329-nucleotide unclassified non-coding RNA is filed under the name soil metagenome. RNAcentral's name for it is "partial contains 5.8S ribosomal RNA, internal transcribed spacer 2, and large subunit ribosomal RNA". The stretch from base 1 to 120 matches the Rfam family "5.8S ribosomal RNA", at positions 35 to 154 of the family's 154-position model. The record is from RNAcentral.
GAUGAAGAACGUAGCGAAAUGCGAUAAGUAAUGUGAAUUGCAGAAUUCAGUGAAUCAUCGAAUCUUUGAACGCACAUUGCGCCCUCUGGUAUUCCGGGGGGCAUGCCUGUUCGAGCGUCAUUAUAACCACUCAAGCUCUGGCUUGGUAUUGGGGUUCGCGGUUCCGCGGCCCCUAAAAUCAGUGGUGGUGCCUGUCGGCUCUACGCGUAGUAAUACUCCUCGCGAUUGAGUCCGGUAGGUCUACUUGCCAGCAACCCCCAAUUUUUACAGGUUGACCUCGGAUCAGGUAGGGAUACCCGCUGAACUUAAGCAUAUCAAUAAGCGGAGGA